CCUACGGGUGGCAGCAGUGAGGAAUAUUUGUCAAUGGACGAGAGUCUGCACCAGCCAAGUAGCGUGAAGGAUUAAUGCCCUAUGGGUUGUAAACUUCUUUUAUAUGGGAAUAAAAUGUUCCACGUGUGGGAUUUUUUAUGUACCCUAUUAAUCAGGAUCGGCUAACUCCGUGCCAGCAGCCGCGGUAAUACGGAGGAUCCGCGAGUGAUCCUGAUUGAUUGGGUUUAAAUGGAGCGUAGGUGGAUUGUUAAGUCAGUUGUGAAAGUUUGCGGCUCAACCGUAAAAUUGCAGUUGAAACUGGCAGUCUGGAGUACAGUAGAGGUGGGCGGAAUUCGGGGUGUAGCGGUGAAAUGCUUAGAUAUCACGAAGAACUCCGAUUGCGAAGGCAGCUCACUGGACUGCAACUGACACUGAGGCUCGAAAGUGUGGGUAUCAAACAGGAUUAGAUACCCGAGUAGUC
RNAcentral lists this ribosomal RNA (460 nucleotides) under uncultured bacterium. RNAcentral describes it as "partial 16S ribosomal RNA". It matches the Rfam family "Bacterial small subunit ribosomal RNA", at positions 338 to 795 of the family's 1533-position model. The record is from RNAcentral.